Molecule: unclassified non-coding RNA, 306 nt
Filed under: plant metagenome
Description: partial contains 5.8S ribosomal RNA, internal transcribed spacer 2, and large subunit ribosomal RNA
Rfam family: 5.8S ribosomal RNA (bases 1-106)
Source: RNAcentral
CGAAAUGCGAUAAGUAAUGUGAAUUGCAGAAUUCAGUGAAUCAUCGAAUCUUUGAACGCACAUUGCGCCCGCCAGUAUUCUGGCGGGCAUGCCUGUUCGAGCGUCAUUUCAACCAUCAAGCCCCCGGCUUGUGUUGGGGACCUGCGGCUGCCCGCAGGCCCUGAAAAACAGUGGCGGGCUCGCUGUCACACCGAGCGUAGUAGCAUACAUUCUCGCUCAGGGCGUGCUGCGGGUUCCGGCCGUUAAACGACCUUCAUAACCCAAGGUUGACCUCGGAUCAAGUAGGAAGACCCGCUGAACUUAAGC